RNAcentral lists this long non-coding RNA (1112 nucleotides) under Marmota monax (woodchuck). The record is from RNAcentral. Lineage: Eukaryota; Metazoa; Chordata; Mammalia; Rodentia; Sciuridae.
CUCAACAACUACCAGAGACAAGUUGCAGGGGACUCUGAGAAAGCACCAUGGGUAGACCUGGCAGAUUUCUUGACACAUCUGUCAUACAUUUAAGAGAUAAGAAUAGUCAACCCCAGGGGAGCUAGAAUAGAAGCAUGAAUGAAAUUUGUAGGUGGGGGACAUAGAAUUGUAUUUUUGUUUGUCCUUUGUUUGUUAUAAAUGGAAGCUCUCUUUUACUUUGGAAUAUUUUAUGACUCAGCCAGUACCUGAAGACCUGUGGGUGAGUGGAGCUUAGUGGAUUCUGAGCUUUCCUCAGUCAUGUCUUACAUUUAUUCAAAAAUACUUCAGGAGUCACUGGUUACUUCAUUUCUAGUUUUCCAGGACUUACAUAGAAUUUCACAUUCACUAUCCUUUUUUAGGUCUAAGGAGAAAAAUGUGAAACUGUUAGGAAAUUCCCUUCAUAGUAGUAAUUAUUUAAUAGGAAUUUAUUAUUGACCAAGUGUAGAUUAGACUCGUGAUUCAAAUAAGGUUUCAGAGAUUUAGUGUUUAAAUGAGAAGAUGGAUUAUACCCAUAUAACUAAAUUCAUCAUACCAUAAUACAUUAAAAAAGAUUAUUUGGGGGAACAAAAGUUAGGGGAAUCAAGAGGUGGGCAAAUAAUACACAAUUUAACGAGAGCCCUAAAGUAGAAUUUGAAGGAAUGAAGUACAAGAAGAAGCCACUGUAAUUUGUGGGGGGGGAACUGCUAAGGAAUUAGCAAGGAAAAAUGGGAAAGUGGCCAGUGAAUAGGUAAAUUGGGCUUGUUAUGGUUUGGUGGCCCCAAAAAGCUCACAUGUGAGACAGUGCAAGAAAGUUCAGAGGAGAAGUGAUUGGGUUGUGGGAGUCUUAACACAAUCAGUUACCAAUCAGUUACCACUCAGUUAAUCCCAGAAGUGGUAGGAUAUAGCCUGGAGGAGGUGGAAAUUUGGGGUGGUGUUGGCUAUGGGCUAUAUAUUUGCAUCUGACACAUGGAGACCUCUCUCUCUGCUUCCUGAUCAUCUGCUUUCCUCUGCCACAUUCUUUUACCAUGAGGUUGUACCUCAUCUCGAACCCCAAAGAAUGGAGCUGACCUUCUAUGGACUGAGACUUCUGAAAC